UUCAUAUACUUCUUUUGGAUUUUACACAACAAUAAAUUGAAAAACUAAGUGUUAAUCCCAAUCAAUUAUAGUCGGUUAUACGGAUCAUUUUUCGCUAUUCUGACCAAUUCCAAAUGAUGCCAAGAACUUGUGAAUCUUUUGAUACUAUUUACUUUCACAGUAUUUUGGGUCUUUCCUUUUCCUUCUCACUUUACCAUCCUGUAUAUUGGGACACUUUCACACUGGAAUUUGAUGCUCUAUGGUAGACAUGAUUAGGUCAUCUAAAUUGCACUUUCACACUGGAAUUUGAUGCUCUAUGGUAGACAUGAUUAGAUCAUCUAAAUUGAUCCUCUCUCAUUUUAUUCCAUUCUGUAUUGUAUCAACUUC
This is a long non-coding RNA of Manihot esculenta (cassava), 366 nucleotides long. RefSeq lists it as uncharacterized. The record is from RefSeq and is a predicted model, not a curated record. NCBI's taxonomy places the organism in Eukaryota, Viridiplantae, Streptophyta, Magnoliopsida, Malpighiales, Euphorbiaceae. The transcript is spliced from 2 exons.